GGCGCCGUGGCUUAGUUGGUUAAAGCGCCUGUCUAGUAAACAGGAGAUCUCGAGUUCGAAUCUCGACGGGGCCU
Non-coding RNA from Bradysia coprophila, 74 nucleotides. Lineage: Eukaryota; Metazoa; Arthropoda; Insecta; Diptera; Sciaridae. The record is from the annotation of a RefSeq genome assembly.